UACGAAGGGGGCUAGCGUUGCUCGGAAUCACUGGGCGUAAAGCGCACGUAGGCGGAUCUUUAAGUCAGGGGUGAAAUCCCAAGGCUCAACCUUGGAACUGCCUUUGAUACUGGGGAUCUCGAGUCCGGAAGAGGUUGGUGGAACUGCGAGUGUAGAGGUGAAAUUCGUAGAUAUUCGCAAGAACACCGGUGGCGAAGGCGGCCAACUGGACCAUUACUGACGCUGAGGCGCGAAAGCGUGGGAGCAAACAGG
This 252-nucleotide ribosomal RNA is filed under the name uncultured bacterium. RNAcentral's name for it is "partial 16S ribosomal RNA". It matches the Rfam family "Bacterial small subunit ribosomal RNA", at positions 524 to 776 of the family's 1533-position model. The record is from RNAcentral.